This 357-nucleotide long non-coding RNA is filed under the name Canis lupus familiaris (dog). RNAcentral's name for it is "lncRNA (ENSCAFG00000056131.1, ENSCAFG00845007388.1)". The record is from RNAcentral. Lineage: Eukaryota; Metazoa; Chordata; Mammalia; Carnivora; Canidae.
ACACUCAUUAAUUAUAUUAAUAUUUGGUGAAGUGGAUCAUCUUUGGGAAGAAAGAAGUACUGAUAUCUACCCCAUGGUUUAUGUGAGACAUAAGAAGCUAGACACAGGAAAAAACUCACCGGACUUCUAAGACAUGACAUGGUAGCUCCUGGAUGCAUUGAAGCAUUUGUCUUUCCUCUGUACCUCCAAGAAGAUAUUGCUGAUAAACUGGGUUUGGACAUCUCUGCAAUAAAGAUAGUUCAUAUACCUGAUGCUACAACAGGAUGGCAUGGAGGUAUUUUUAGCUUGAAAUUUUGAUUGUGAAUGUCUGUGGCCUAUUAAAAAAAAAUGCCGAUGCAGCCUUGCAGCAUGAAAAAG